This 18-nucleotide small nuclear RNA is filed under the name Arabidopsis thaliana (thale cress). RNAcentral describes it as "snRNA_03273". Lineage: Eukaryota; Viridiplantae; Streptophyta; Magnoliopsida; Brassicales; Brassicaceae. The record is from RNAcentral.
CAUCAGGUCUCCAAGGUG